CCCUGCUUUUGUGGGGUGCUCGAGUGGCGAACGGGUGAGUAACACGUGAGUAACCUGCCCUUGACUUUGGGAUAACUUCAGGAAACUGGGGCUAAUACCGGAUAGGAGCUCCUGCUGCAUGGUGGGGGUUGGAAAGUUUCGGCGGUUGGGGAUGGACUCGCGGCUUAUCAGCUUGUUGGUGGGGUAGUGGCUUACCAAGGCUUUGACGGGUAGCCGGCCUGAGAGGGUGACCGGCCACAUUGGGACUGAGAUACGGCCCAGACUCCUACGGGAGGCAGCAGUGGGGAAUAUUGCGCAAUGGGCGGAAGCCUGAUGCAGCAACGCCGCGUGCGGGAUGACGGCCUUCGGGUUGUAAACCGCUUUCGCCUGUGACGAAGCGUGAGUGACGGUAAUGGGUAAAGAAGCACCGGCUAACUACGUGCCAGCAGCCGCGGUGAUACGUAGGGUGCGAGCGUUGUCCGGAUUUAUUGGGCGUAAAGGGCUCGUAGGUGGUUGAUCGCGUCGGAAGUGUAAUCUUGGGGCUUAACCCUGAGCGUGCUUUCGAUACGGGUUGACUUGAGGAAGGUAGGGGAGAAUGGAAUUCCUGGUGGAGCGGUGGAAUGCGCAGAUAUCAGGAGGAACACCAGUGGCGAAGGCGGUUCUCUGGGCCUUUCCUGACGCUGAGGAGCGAAAGCGUGGGGAGCGAACAGGCUUAGAUACCCUGGUAGUCCACGCUGUAAACGGUGGGUACUAGGUGUGGGGUCCAUUCCACGGGUUCCGUGCCGUAGCUAACGCUUUAAGUACCCCGCCUGGGGAGUACGGCCGCAAGGCUAAAACUCAAAGGAAUUGACGGGGCCCCGCACAAGCGGCGGAGCAUGCGGAUUAAUUCGAUGCAACGCGUAGAACCUUACCUGGGUUUGACAUGGAUCGGGAGCGCUCAGAGAUGGGUGUGCCUCUUUUGGGGUCGGUUCACAGGUGGUGCAUGGCUGUCGUCAGCUCGUGUCGUGAGAUGUUGGGUUAAGUCCCGCAACGAGCGCAACCCUUGUUCACUGUUGCCAGCACGUUAUGGUGGGGACUCAGUGGAGACCGCCGGGGUCAAC
This 1079-nucleotide ribosomal RNA is filed under the name uncultured bacterium. RNAcentral's name for it is "bacterial SSU rRNA". It matches the Rfam family "Bacterial small subunit ribosomal RNA", at positions 73 to 1162 of the family's 1533-position model. The record is from RNAcentral.